AACCUACGGGGCGCAGCAGUGAGGAAUAUUGGUCAAUGGGAGAGAUCCUGAACCAGCCAAGCCGCGUGAGGGAAGACGGCCCUAUGGGUUGUAAACCUCUUUUGUCGGAGAACAAAACCCGGGACGUGUCCCGGACUGCGUGUAUCCGAAGAAAAAGCAUCGGCUAACUCCGUGCCAGCAGCCGCGGUAAUACGGAGGAUGCGAGCGUUAUCCGGAUUUAUUGGGUUUAAAGGGUGCGUAGGCGGCCUGGCAAGCCUGAUGUGAAAUACCGGGGCCCAACCCCGGGGCUGCAUUGGGAACUGCAA
Molecule: ribosomal RNA, 305 nt
Filed under: uncultured bacterium
Lineage: Bacteria
Description: bacterial SSU rRNA
Rfam family: Bacterial small subunit ribosomal RNA
Source: RNAcentral